GAUGAACGCUGGCGGCGUGCCUAAUACAUGCAAGUCGAGCGAACAGACGAGGAGCUUGCUCCGCUGACGUUAGCGGCGGACGGGUGAGUAACACGUGGAUAACCUACCUAUAAGACUGGGGUAACUCCAGGGAACCGGAGCUAAUACCGGAGAAUAUAUUGAACAGCAGGGUUAAAUAGUGAAAUAGGGUUUUGCUGUUGCUUAUAGAUGGAUCCGCGCCGCAUUAGCUAGUUGGUAAGGUAACGGCCUACCAAGGCAACGAUGCGUAGCCGGCCUGAGAGGGUGAUCGGCCACACUGGGACUGAGACACGGUCCAGACUCCUACGGGAGGCAGCAGUGGGGAAUCUUGCGCAAUGGGCGAAAGCCUGACCGAGCAACGCCGCGUGAGUGAUGAAGGCCUUCGGAUCGUAAAACUCUGUUGUUAGGGAAGAACAAAUGUGUACGUAACCAUGCGCGUGUUGACGGUACCUGAUGAGAAAGCACCGGCUAACUACGUG
RNAcentral lists this ribosomal RNA (497 nucleotides) under uncultured bacterium. Its description in RNAcentral is "partial 16S ribosomal RNA". It matches the Rfam family "Bacterial small subunit ribosomal RNA", at positions 28 to 507 of the family's 1533-position model. The record is from RNAcentral.